RNAcentral lists this long non-coding RNA (382 nucleotides) under Pelobates cultripes (western spadefoot toad). Lineage: Eukaryota; Metazoa; Chordata; Amphibia; Anura; Pelobatidae. The record is from RNAcentral.
GUCCUGUUGUCCUCUCCUCUCCUUUGACUCGGCUUGUAUCUCGCUUACCUGUCCUCCGGCUCCCUCGACCUCGGCUUACCUUUUGACUAUUCUUGCUUUGUCCCUACGUUAGUCCGGCCAUUCUAAGGUCCGGUAUACGUACCUCCUUCUGUCCGCACUCUGCGUAUUGGAUCCCUGUCAGUAUCCUGACAUUACGACAGGGCCAAAUGGAUCCUGCAGGUGCUAGUCCUCCUGACCCCAGAUUUGAGGCCAUGGACCAUAGAAUGGACCAAAUGGCUUUAGUAUUACAAACUUUGUUAACACGCUCCAGCACUCAGUCUGAAGAAAUACGUUCCACUGCUAGCCACUCGCUAAGUACUGGUUUGGAAGUAGCCACUGUAGG